AUGAAUCCGACCUACGCGUCGGGUCCGGAUGGCGUACCAGUGAAAUUCUUCCAGGUCUUCUGGCCCACCAUCAAGUGAGAGGUGAUGGCCCUCUUUCAGGAAUUUUACAUCGGCUCCAUCGACCUCUGCCGCCUCAACUUUGGGAUCAUCUCCCUGAUCCCCAAGGUUCCCGGCGCCUCAGACAUCCGCCAGUUCCGGCCGAUCACGGUGAUCAAUGUGAUCUUCUGCAUCCUGGCAAAGGGGUUCACCAUUAGGUUAGCUCCUUUGGCCAACCGCAUUACACAUCCUGACCAGCCAACCUUCAUCCAAGGGCAAUAUAUCUUGGAUGGGGUCCUAUCUUUCACGAGGUCCUCCAUGAGGUCCAUGCCAAACACCUGAAGGCCAUCUUCCUGAAGCUCGACUUCCACAAGGCAUACGACACGGUCAGUUGGCCCUUCCUUCAGGAAGUUUUGCUCCGUAAGGGGUUUGAUGACCAAUGGGUCACCCGGGUAA
RNAcentral lists this ribosomal RNA (492 nucleotides) under Triticum aestivum (bread wheat). RNAcentral describes it as "partial small subunit ribosomal RNA". Lineage: Eukaryota; Viridiplantae; Streptophyta; Magnoliopsida; Poales; Poaceae. The record is from RNAcentral.